CAGCAGCCGCGGUAAUACGUAGGUGGCAAGCGUUGUCCGGAAUUAUUGGGCGUAAAGCGCGCGCAGGCGGUCCUUUAAGUCUGAUGUGAAAUCUUGCGGCUCAACCGCAAGUGGUCAUUGGAAACUGGAGGGCUUGAGUGCAGGAGAGGAGAGUGGAAUUCCACGUGUAGCGGUGAAAUGCGUAGAGAUGUGGAGGAACACCAGUGGCGAAGGCGACUCUCUGGCCUGUAACUGACGCUGAGGCGCGAAAGCGUGGGGAGCGAACAGGAUUAGAUACCCUGGUAGUCCACGCCGUAAACGAUGAGUGCUAGGUGUUAGGGGGUUUCCGCCCCUUAGUGCUUGAAGUUAACGCAUUAAGCACUCCGCCUGGGGAGUACGACCCGCAAGGUUGAAACUCAAAGGAAUUGACGG
This 411-nucleotide ribosomal RNA is filed under the name uncultured bacterium. RNAcentral's name for it is "bacterial SSU rRNA". It matches the Rfam family "Bacterial small subunit ribosomal RNA", at positions 509 to 916 of the family's 1533-position model. The record is from RNAcentral.